RNAcentral lists this ribosomal RNA (253 nucleotides) under uncultured bacterium. RNAcentral's name for it is "partial 16S ribosomal RNA". It matches the Rfam family "Bacterial small subunit ribosomal RNA", at positions 524 to 776 of the family's 1533-position model. The record is from RNAcentral.
UACGUAGGGGGCGAGCGUUGUCCGGAUUUAUUGGGCGUAAAGAGCUCGUAGGCGGUUCGGCAAGUCGGAUGUGAAAGCCCACGGCUCAACCGUGGAAGUGCAUCCGAAACUGCAUAGCUUGAGUCUCGGAGAGGAAGGUGGAAUGCUUGGUGUAGAGGUGAAAUUCGUAGAUAUCAAGCAGAACACCUGCGGCGAAGGCGGCCUUCUGGACGAUGACUGACGCUGAGACGCGAAAGCGUGGGGAGCAAACAGG